RNAcentral lists this ribosomal RNA (253 nucleotides) under uncultured bacterium. Its description in RNAcentral is "partial 16S ribosomal RNA". It matches the Rfam family "Bacterial small subunit ribosomal RNA", at positions 524 to 776 of the family's 1533-position model. The record is from RNAcentral.
UACGUAGGGUGCAAGCGUUAAUCGGAAUUACUGGGCGUAAAGCGUGCGCAGGCGGCUCUGCAAGACAGAUGUGAAAUCCCCGGGCUCAACCUGGGAACUGCAUUUGUGACUGCAGGGCUAGAGUACGGUAGAGGGGGAUGGAAUUCCGCGUGUAGCAGUGAAAUGCGUAGAUAUGCGGAGGAACACCGAUGGCGAAGGCAAUCCCCUGGACCUGUACUGACGCUCAUGCACGAAAGCGUGGGGAGCGAACAGG